This is a long non-coding RNA of Oreochromis aureus, 680 nucleotides long. RefSeq lists it as uncharacterized. The transcript is spliced from 3 exons. NCBI's taxonomy places the organism in Eukaryota, Metazoa, Chordata, Actinopteri, Cichliformes, Cichlidae. The record is from RefSeq and is a predicted model, not a curated record.
CUCAGAGGGUUGAUGAGCUCUGAUGAGAGCCUAUUGUUUUACUCCACUCCUCGCAUGUCAGCCAAUCGGUGAAGCUCUAGGCAGCUCUUGUCCCUCCUUAGUGCCAGCUCCCAAGUUUGCAGUCUCUUGCUUCUACAGCCGAACAGAGCAGGCGGACUAAAACUUUGCUAUCGAGGGCAGAGCGAAACCGGAAGGUUUACUGAGCUGUGGCUUCACGUAAAUGCUGAGCAUACACUCGACGGCGGUCAGGUUUUUUAUAUGGGACGAAUCCAAAGACCAGGUCAGCGAUUCCAGAACCCAGAGUGUUCCAGUGUUCACUGGAUGGCGAGCCAACCCAAGAUCCUAGGAGACGAUAUACAUACACAAGCACACUCAUUUGCACAUUGAUGGACUACAAUCCUCUACUGUACAAGUAGUACGGUAGGAUAGACAAUCACACACACUCUUACCAUUGGACGGACUCUAUUGCAAUACACCCGUUUUCAUGGGCCCCACCGGUACCAUUUGGACUUAAAAAAGACUAAUACUUUUACUUGUGCACAAUUUUAUUUUAUUCUAUUGUUUUGCUACUUUGGGGGAAAUUUUUAUACUGGAAGUUCUGUUAAAACCUGUUGAAAUACUGUGUUGUUUACAAAUUCCUUUUAAAAGGCUUAAAAUCACUAAAGCACUUUUAAGCCACA